UACGGAGGGUGCGAGCGUUGUCCGGAAUCACUGGGCGUAAAGGGCGCGUAGGCGGCGCGAGCAGUCCGUGGUGAAAGCCCGAGGCUCAACUUCGGGUCGGCCACGGAUACUCUCGGGCUCGAGUGUGGUAGAGGCCAAUGGAAUUCCGGGUGUAGCGGUGGAAUGCGUAGAGAUCCGGAAGAACACCGGUGGCGAAGGCGGUUGGCUGGGCCACUACUGACGCUGAGGCGCGACAGCGUGGGGAGCAAACAGG
This 253-nucleotide ribosomal RNA is filed under the name uncultured bacterium. Its description in RNAcentral is "partial 16S ribosomal RNA". It matches the Rfam family "Bacterial small subunit ribosomal RNA", at positions 524 to 776 of the family's 1533-position model. The record is from RNAcentral.